RNAcentral lists this long non-coding RNA (937 nucleotides) under Homo sapiens (human). RNAcentral describes it as "HSALNT0366411". Lineage: Eukaryota; Metazoa; Chordata; Mammalia; Primates; Hominidae. The record is from RNAcentral.
CAGGAAAGGGCCCUGACAAGAGGAUGGGACUGCAGUUGUGGCUGCCAGGUUGGAGUGCAGUGGCACGAUCUCGGCUCAGUGCAACCUCCGCCUCCUGAGUUCAAGUGAUUCUCCUGCCUCAGCCUCCCUAGUAGCUGGGAUUACAGGACAAGGAGAGGGACAAAUUCCUUCUUGGCAUCCUUAUGGCCCUGUGACCUGCUAAUGAAUGCUGACUCUGAGUUGCUACUAGAAUUUGGUUUCCUUGUGGCUUCCCAGGAAUUGGUCUCACUCUGCUCACUCUGUCUCCCAAGCUGGAGUGCAGUGGUACAGUCACGGCUCACUGCAGCCUCCACUUCCUGGACUCAAGUGAUCUUCUCACUUCAGCCUUCUGAGUAGCUGGGACUACAGGUAGACCCAGUGUAAUCACAAGCAUCCUUGUAAGUGGCAAAGAGGCAGAGGAGACAGCGCCAGAGAGGCAGCUGCAUGAGAAGGAUCAAGAUGUUGCUGACUUUGAAGUUGGAAGAAGAAGGCCAUGAGCCUCAGUAUGUGGGCGGCUUCUAGAAGCUGGAAGGGGCAAGGAGAUGGAUUUGACCCUUCAGCCUCCAGGGGCAGCUGUACCUGCCAUCACUGAUUGUAGCCUGGUGAGGCCUGUUUUAGACUUCUGACCUGUAGAGCUGUAACAUAAUACAUUUGGGUUGUUUUCAACCACUAAGUUUGUGGUAAUUUGUUGUAGCAGCUGUAGAAAAUGAAUACAUAUGAAUCCUCUGGCAUUUGUUUGAGAUUUGCUCUAUGGCCUAGUAUGUGGUUGUAAAUGUUCCAUCUGUGCCUGAAAAAAUGUAUAUUUCUAAUUCAGUAGUCUCUGCUUUUUUUUUUUAUUUUGUACCCCAUCAAUAAAAUGAUUUUCAGCAUGUAUCCCCAAAUAAACAAUAUUUUAUUUAUUGAUUGAUUGAUAAACAGA